GGCAGGCUUCACACACACACACACACACACACACACACACACACACACACACACACACACACACACACACACACACACACACACACACACACACACACACACACACACACACACACACACACACACACACACACACACACACACACUGAUGCAUGCGCAUGUACACACAUGCGCACACACACACAGACACACGCGCACACAUACACGGAUACAUGCGCACAUGCACACAUGCACACACACACACGGAUACAUGUGCACGUGCACACACACACACACACACACACACACACACACACACACACACACACACACACACACACACACACACACACACACACACACACACACACACACACACACACAACA
Long non-coding RNA from Gadus macrocephalus (Pacific cod), 366 nucleotides. RefSeq lists it as uncharacterized. NCBI's taxonomy places the organism in Eukaryota, Metazoa, Chordata, Actinopteri, Gadiformes, Gadidae. The record is from RefSeq and is a predicted model, not a curated record. The transcript is spliced from 2 exons.